This 879-nucleotide ribosomal RNA is filed under the name Lactococcus lactis subsp. lactis. RNAcentral's name for it is "bacterial SSU rRNA". It matches the Rfam family "Bacterial small subunit ribosomal RNA", at positions 23 to 873 of the family's 1533-position model. Lineage: Bacteria; Bacillati; Bacillota; Bacilli; Lactobacillales; Streptococcaceae. The record is from RNAcentral.
GUCAGACGAACGCUGGCGGCGUGCCUAAUACAUGCAAGUUGAGCGCUGAAGGUUGGUACUUGUACCGACUGGAUGAGCAGCGAACGGGUGAGUAACGCGUGGGGAAUCUGCCUUUGAGCGGGGGACAACAUUUGGAAACGAAUGCUAAUACCGCAUAAAAACUUUAAACACAAGUUUUAAGUUUGAAAGAUGCAAUUGCAUCACUCAAAGAUGAUCCCGCGUUGUAUUAGCUAGUUGGUGAGGUAAAGGCUCACCAAGGCGAUGAUACAUAGCCGACCUGAGAGGGUGAUCGGCCACAUUGGGACUGAGACACGGCCCAAACUCCUACGGGAGGCAGCAGUAGGGAAUCUUCGGCAAUGGACGAAAGUCUGACCGAGCAACGCCGCGUGAGUGAAGAAGGUUUUCGGAUCGUAAAACUCUGUUGGUAGAGAAGAACGUUGGUGAGAGUGGAAAGCUCAUCAAGUGACGGUAACUACCCAGAAAGGGACGGCUAACUACGUGCCAGCAGCCGCGGUAAUACGUAGGUCCCGAGCGUUGUCCGGAUUUAUUGGGCGUAAAGCGAGCGCAGGUGGUUUAUUAAGUCUGGUGUAAAAGGCAGUGGCUCAACCAUUGUAUGCAUUGGAAACUGGUAGACUUGAGUGCAGGAGAGGAGAGUGGAAUUCCAUGUGUAGCGGUGAAAUGCGUAGAUAUAUGGAGGAACACCGGUGGCGAAAGCGGCUCUCUGGCCUGUAACUGACACUGAGGCUCGAAAGCGUGGGGAGCAAACAGGAUUAGAUACCCUGGUAGUCCACGCCGUAAACGAUGAGUGCUAGAUGUAGGGAGCUAUAAGUUCUCUGUAUCGCAGCUAACGCAAUAAGCACUCCGUCCUGGGAGAAGCCA